GAUGAAUUGCAGGGGGACCGCGAGCGGUUGAGAAGGCUAAAACCUGACCCUUUGAACCUGUUUAUUAAGAUAAGCGUAGGAAGCAAUUAAAACUAUCUU
This 99-nucleotide non-coding RNA is filed under the name Mageeibacillus indolicus UPII9-5. RNAcentral's name for it is "Clostridiales genomosp. BVAB3 str. UPII9-5 TPP riboswitch aptamer (THI element)". It matches the Rfam family "TPP riboswitch aptamer (THI element)". From Rfam's summary of the family: Vitamin B(1) in its active form thiamin pyrophosphate (TPP) is an essential coenzyme that is synthesised by coupling of pyrimidine and thiazole moieties in bacteria. The record is from Rfam by way of RNAcentral. RNAcentral also lists the same sequence under 1 other name. Lineage: Bacteria; Bacillati; Bacillota; Clostridia; Eubacteriales; Oscillospiraceae.